ACUCCUACGGGAGGCAGCAGUGGGGAAUAUUGCACAAUGGGCGCAAGCCUGACGCAGCGACGCCGCGUGAGGGAUGACGGCCUUCGGGUUGUAAACCUCUUUCAGCAGGGACGAAUGUGACGGUACCUGUAGAAGAAGCACCGGCCAACUACGUGCCAGCAGCCGCGGUAAU
RNAcentral lists this ribosomal RNA (172 nucleotides) under uncultured bacterium. RNAcentral's name for it is "partial 16S ribosomal RNA". It matches the Rfam family "Bacterial small subunit ribosomal RNA", at positions 335 to 524 of the family's 1533-position model. The record is from RNAcentral.